GAUGAACGCUGGCGGCGUGCCUAAUACAUGCAAGUCGAGCGAAUGGAUUAAGAGCUUGCUCUUAUGAAGUUAGCGGCGGACGGGUGAGUAACACGUGGGUAACCUGCCCAUAAGACUGGGAUAACUCCGGGAAACCGGGGCUAAUACCGGAUAACAUUUUGAACCGCAUGGUUCGAAAUUGAAAGGCGGCUUCGGCUGUCACUUAUGGAUGGACCCGCGUCGCAUUAGCUAGUUGGUGAGGUAACGGCUCACCAAGGCAACGAUGCGUAGCCGACCGGAGAGGGGGAUCGGCCACACUGGGACUGAGACACGGCCCAGACUCCUACGGGAGGCAGAAGUAGGGAAUCUUCCGCAAUGGACGAAAGUCUGACGGGGCAACGCCGCGUGAGUGAUGAAGGCUUUCGGGUCGUAAAACUCUGUUGUUAGGGAAGAACAAGUGCUAGUUGAAUAAGCUGGCACCUUGACGGUACCUAACCAGAAAGCCACGGCUAACUACGUGCCAGCCGCCGCAGUAA
RNAcentral lists this ribosomal RNA (515 nucleotides) under uncultured bacterium. Its description in RNAcentral is "partial 16S ribosomal RNA". It matches the Rfam family "Bacterial small subunit ribosomal RNA", at positions 28 to 523 of the family's 1533-position model. The record is from RNAcentral.